Molecule: non-coding RNA, 545 nt
Organism: Drosophila melanogaster (fruit fly)
Lineage: Eukaryota; Metazoa; Arthropoda; Insecta; Diptera; Drosophilidae
Source: Ensembl
GCAGUUCCUCCUUUUCAGCCGUGGGAUGCGCAUGCGAUGUCCAAAGGCAAAGCGCUCUACUCCACACCAUCAAAAACACAGCGAUACAGAAAUAACGGUGGCAUGGCCGCUCCACAUGCGACGCACUCUACGCACACACUUGUCGCCUCGCUCGCACGAGCACUUGCCCCAUGCGCAUGCGCGUUGAUGGCUCCGCCCCCGAGUUUCGAAAUACUUGACUGACUUUCAAUAUGGCCGCCGUUUUGACAGCUCCUAUUGUUGUGUUUGCUGCUGUCGUGCUAGUGUGAGUGCUGGUAUGAGAGGGACGUAUUUGGUUAGGGGCAACCAUUUGCCGGCGAUUCGACAGAGUCGGGAUGCACUUGCCGUCGGCGGAGCGGAAAUUAAAACCAUAAAGUGAAUGCAGAUGUUAAUUUGUUUAUAGAAAUUAUAAAAAGGAGUUUAUUCCAUUAUAUUAACAAUUAUUUAACAAUCUUUAUAAAAUGAAUGAUAAUACAGAUCAAAAUUUCUUUAGUUGUACUUAACUUAAACUUAAGCUUCCAUAUUUU